This 254-nucleotide ribosomal RNA is filed under the name uncultured bacterium. RNAcentral's name for it is "partial 16S ribosomal RNA". It matches the Rfam family "Bacterial small subunit ribosomal RNA", at positions 524 to 776 of the family's 1533-position model. The record is from RNAcentral.
UACGGAGGAUCCAAGCGUUAUCCGGAAUUACUGGGCGUAAAGAGUUGCGUAGGUGGCAUAGUAAGCAGGCAGUGAAAUCGUGUGGCUCAACCAUACUCACAUUACCUGAACUGCUAAGCUAGAGUAUAAGAGAGGUAGCUGGAAUUUCUAGUGUAGGAGUGAAAUCCGUAGAUAUUAGAAGGAACACCGAUGGCGUAGGCAGGCUACUGGCUUAUUACUGACACUAAGGCACGAAAGCGUGGGGAGCGAACAGG